AUUGAACGCUGGCGGCAGGCCUAACACAUGCAAGUCGAGCGGAUGAAGCGAGCUUGCUCCUGGAUUCAGCGGCGGACGGGUGGGUAAUGCCUAGGAAUCUGCCUGGUCGUGGGGGAUAACGUCCGGAAACGGGCGCUAAUAUCGCGUCCGUCCUGUGGGCGACAGUGGGGGGGCUUCGGACCGCUCGGUUUCAGAUGAGCCUAGUUGGGAUUAGCUAGUUGGUGGGGUAACGGCCUACAAAGGCUGCGAACCGUAACUGGUCUGAGAGGACGAUCCGUCACACUGGAACUGAGACACGGUCCACACUCCUACGGUAGGCAGCGGCCGGGAAUACUGGACGAGGGGCGAGAGCCUGAUCCAGCCAAGCCGCGUGUGUGAAGAAGCACCUCUGAUGCUAAAGCACUUUAAGUCUUGAGGAAGGGCAGUAAGUUAAUACCUGACUGUAUUGACGUUACCAGCAGAAUAAGCACCGGCUAACUUCGUG
Molecule: ribosomal RNA, 484 nt
Filed under: uncultured bacterium
Lineage: Bacteria
Description: partial 16S ribosomal RNA
Rfam family: Bacterial small subunit ribosomal RNA
Source: RNAcentral